UACAGAGGGGGCAAGCGUUAUUCGGAAUUAUUGGGCGUAAAGGGCGCGUAGGCGGCUUCGCAAGUGGAAGGUGAAAUCCCUCGGCUUAACCGAGGAACUGCCCUCCAAACUGCGUUGCUUGAGGCCGGGAGAGGUGAGUGGAAUUCCCAGUGUAGCGGUGAAAUGCGUAGAUAUUGGGAGGAACACCAGUGGCGAAGGCGGCUCACUGGACCGGUACUGACGCUGAUGCGCGAAAGCGUGGGGAGCAAACGGG
RNAcentral lists this ribosomal RNA (253 nucleotides) under uncultured bacterium. RNAcentral's name for it is "partial 16S ribosomal RNA". It matches the Rfam family "Bacterial small subunit ribosomal RNA", at positions 524 to 776 of the family's 1533-position model. The record is from RNAcentral.